UACGUAGGGGGCAAGCGUUGUCCGGAAUCAUUGGGCGUAAAGCGCGUGUAGGCGGCUCAGUAAGCCCGCUCUGAAAGCCCGGGGCUCAACCCCGGGAGGCGGGUGGAUACUGCUGAGCUCGAGUCCGGAAGAGGAGUGUGGAAUUCCUGGUGUAGCGGUGAAAUGCGCAGAUAUCAGGAGGAACACCAAUGGCGAAGGCAGCACUCUGGGACGGUACUGACGCUGAGGCGCGAAAGCUAGGGGAGCAAACGGG
Molecule: ribosomal RNA, 253 nt
Filed under: uncultured bacterium
Lineage: Bacteria
Description: partial 16S ribosomal RNA
Rfam family: Bacterial small subunit ribosomal RNA
Source: RNAcentral